UUAAUAUGUAUCUGAUACAUACAAACAAAAGGUGUUGGGUAGAAUGUGGCUAUUCCGCUAAUAAUUCUUGUUUUGUUUGUAGUUGUGCCUUUACGAGCAGUAGCUGUACCGUUACUAGCCUACGCAAUCGAAGCAAGAACUGUAGUUAUGGCAACAAGUAUCAUAAUUCGUGAAUUUAUUUCCAUCUCCAAUUUCAAAAUACCAAAUGCUUCAAAGUACCAAGUUAAUUUUUUAUUAAAGCUUAAAAGUUCCCUAUUUGUAAGAGCAUCUCCAAGGGAGAUGUCAAAUAUCAAACAUCAAAUUUAA
Molecule: long non-coding RNA, 306 nt
Filed under: Prunus persica (peach)
Lineage: Eukaryota; Viridiplantae; Streptophyta; Magnoliopsida; Rosales; Rosaceae
Description: long non-coding RNA (PPER_LNC006159)
Source: RNAcentral